CGCAUCUGUGCAUGCAGCAUAUCAAUAAGCGGAGGAAAAGAAACUAACAAGGAUUCCCCUAGUAACGGCGAGUGAAGCGGGAAGAGCUCAAAUUUGAAAUCUUAAAGGGUUUCCCUUUACGAAUUGUAGUUUAAAGAAGUGUUUUCUGUUGAGGUUUUGGUAAAAGUUCUUUGGAAUAGGACAUCAUAGAGGGUGAGAAUCCCGUAUUUGACCUUUACUUUCAACUUUGUGAUACACUUUCAAAGAGUCGGAUUGUUUGGGAAUGCAGUCCAAAAUGGGUGGUAAAUUUCAUCUAAAGCUAAAUAUUGGCGAGAGACCGAUAGCGAACAAGUACCGUGAGGGAAAGAUGAAAAGAACUUUGAAAAGAGAGUUAAACAGUACGUGAAAUUGUCAAAAGGGAAGCGUUUGACACCAGUGUUGUUUUUCUGAAAAUCAAUUAAAGAACUGUUUAUGCUAAGCUGUUUAGACUUUAUCAGCUAACUGUUUAGUUUUGAGCUUUUCUUUAAUGCACUUUUCGGUUAACAAGUCAACAUCAAUUUCUUUUGCUGUAAAAAAGCUUGAGGAAGGUGGCUUGAGAUUCGUCUUAAGUGUUUAUAGCCUCUUGCCUAUGCAGUCGGAGAGAUUGAGGUCUGCAGCGUAGAUCCUUCGGGGCUAAAUGCAUUUGUGCUAAGUUAUAGCAUUUUAUAGACAACUUGUUGACUAUGAUUUGUCUUGUAGCUUACUCGCUUAUGUUAUUUUACCUACGCUUAGGAUGUUGAGCGCAUGUCUCUCUCU
This 774-nucleotide ribosomal RNA is filed under the name uncultured Neocallimastigales. Its description in RNAcentral is "partial large subunit ribosomal RNA". It matches the Rfam family "Eukaryotic large subunit ribosomal RNA", at positions 26 to 616 of the family's 3401-position model. Lineage: Eukaryota; Fungi; Neocallimastigomycota; Neocallimastigomycetes; Neocallimastigales. The record is from RNAcentral.